RNAcentral lists this ribosomal RNA (255 nucleotides) under uncultured bacterium. RNAcentral describes it as "partial 16S ribosomal RNA". It matches the Rfam family "Bacterial small subunit ribosomal RNA", at positions 524 to 776 of the family's 1533-position model. The record is from RNAcentral.
UACGUAGGGUGCAAGCGUUGUCCGGAAUUAUUGGGCGUAAAGAGCUCGUAGGCGGUUUUGUCGCGUCUGCUGUGAAAACCCGAGGCUCAACCUCGGGCCUGCAGUGGGUACGGGCAGACUAGAGUGCGGUAGGGGGAGAUUGGAAUUCCUGGUGUAGCGGUGGAAUGCGCAGAUAUCAGGAGGAACACCAAUGGCGAAGGCAGAUCUCUGGGCCGUAACUGACGCUGAGGUGCGAAAGCGUGGGGAGCAAACAGG